Molecule: unclassified non-coding RNA, 959 nt
Filed under: Hevea brasiliensis (rubber tree)
Lineage: Eukaryota; Viridiplantae; Streptophyta; Magnoliopsida; Malpighiales; Euphorbiaceae
Source: RNAcentral
UGGAGCUGGAGAUCAAGGUAAGUAGCUUCUUCUUCUUCUUCUUCUUUGGUGGCUGGCGACAGGUUUUAAGUAAAAGAAACCCUAUUUUUUCUUUAAAUGCGCUUGGACUCUAUCGGGCGUGCCUAGGCGCGCCUUGCACCUCGCUGUGCCUGGGUGAUGUCUUGGGCCUCUGUCUCUUUCAGGCGCCACCAGCUGCGCCCCUGGCGCCCUGCGCCUCAGGCGUGCCUUUGAUAACAGUGGGCAGGAGAGAUAAGGGAUUUGAGGGCAAUUUUGCUAUUUAAUCUAUCAUUAAUGGUAAAAUAGAUGGAGGGAUCUUCAAUUUUGACGAAAUUAAAAUUGAGAGACUAAAUAGUUCAAUUUCCAAAAUGCUGGGACCAAAUCGUAAUAUUGGUCAAACUCAGGGACUAAAUAGUAAAUGUCCCUAAUUUUAUUAAGUUAACAUAGUGAUGAAUGCUCUGCCAGAAAGUAAACAAAUUAAGUGUGAUAGAUUCAAAAUUUGUCUUGCUUUUAACUGCUUUUGUUUUUUUGGUUGCAAAAUUAACUUCUAACAUGUACUUUAUUAAAUAAUUGGCAACUUCUCAAGUGCCUUAUUAUAUGAAUCUUUAAAGAGUAAUGUGCAUCUCCAUGUCCUUGAUUACUGCACAUAAGAUCUCCAAAACUUUUGAUAUGUUUAUAGGUUGUGCCAUAUGAAAAGCCCUUUGGUUUUAGUUGUGCUUUUGUGAAGAUAAACUUCUUUGACACCCAUCAUCUACAGGAUGAUCUCUCUUUGUCUCUCUCUCACAUGUGUGGCAUGCACUCACUCACACAUGUAUGCAUUCUUAAAUGUUCAUUCUAUAUGAAAUAGAAACAAAAGAAUGAAAAAAGAUAAUAUCAAUUGAUAAGAUGUGCAUAGCAAUCAAUCAUUGCGGCUAAUGUGUAUUUCAUAUCAUUCUUGCAGAAGCUGCUCAAUCUUGCAAAGU